Molecule: ribosomal RNA, 497 nt
Filed under: uncultured bacterium
Lineage: Bacteria
Description: partial 16S ribosomal RNA
Rfam family: Bacterial small subunit ribosomal RNA
Source: RNAcentral
GACGAACGCUGGCGGCGUGCCUAAUACAUGCAAGUUGAGCGAUGAAGAUUGGUGCUUGCACCAAUUUGAAGAGCAGCGAACGGGUGAGUAACGCGUGGGUAAUCUGCCUUUGAGCGGGGGACAACAUUUGGAAACGAAUGCUAAUACCGCAUAACAACUUUAAACAUAAGUUUUAAGUUUGAAAGAUGCAAUUGCAUCACUCAAAGAUGAUCCCGCGUUGUAUUAGCUAGUUGGUGAGGUAAAGGCUCACCAAGGCGAUGAUACAUAGCCGACCUGAGAGGGUGAUCGGCCACAUUGGGACUGAGACACGGCCCAAACUCCUACGGGAGGCAGCAGUAGGGAAUCUUCGGCAAUGGACGAAAGUCUGGCCGAGCAACGCCGCGUGAGUGAAGAAGGUUUUCGGAUCGUAAAACUCUGUUGGUAGAGAAGAACGUUGGUGAGAGUGGAAAGCUCAUCAAGUGACGGUAACUACCCAGAAAGGGACGGCUAACUACGUG